This 593-nucleotide long non-coding RNA is filed under the name Homo sapiens (human). RNAcentral's name for it is "non-protein coding lnc-COG5-4:4". The record is from RNAcentral. Lineage: Eukaryota; Metazoa; Chordata; Mammalia; Primates; Hominidae.
GGAGUAUUGGUGGAAACCCAUUGAGACUGGGUUGUGGAGAGAAUAUGAUGUGUUCUUCAGAUGAUGCAGACGAGAAUUGGGGCUUUACAGGGAGCUGUUGAUAGGAUAAAAGCAAAAAUUGUUGAACCAUACAAUAAGAUAGUUGCCCGGACUGCACAACUAGCAAGACUUCAGGUUGCCUGUGAUUUGCUUCGGAGGAUUAUUCGUAUCUUGAAUCUCAGUAAGAGACUCCAAGGACAACUGCAAGGGGGAAGUAGAGAGAUAACAAAAGCUGCUCAGAGUCUCAAUGAACUUGAUUAUCUUUCUCAAGGAAUAGAUCUUUCUGGAAUAGAAGUGAUAGAAAAUGAUCUACUUUUUAUUGCAAGAGCCCGACUUGAAGUGGAAAAUCAAGCUAAGCGCCUACUAGAGCAGGGUUUGGAGACUCAGAAUCCAACUCAAGUCGGAACAGCUCUUCAGGUUUUCUAUAAUCUUGGAACUUUGAAGGAUACUAUUACCAGUGUUGUGGAUGGAUAUUGUGCUACUUUAGAAGAAAAUAUCAACAGUGCAUUAGACAUAAAAGUUUUGACUCAGCCUUCCCAGUCAGCUGUGAGAGG